UCCUCCACCAUGAUCGCCUGAGACUCGUCAUUUAUUUAGGGAAUGAAGGGCUCUCCUCCUCCCUGAAAAUUCGCUGCUGAACUCCUGAGGCUUGGCAUCACCGCUGGAGCCUGCCCCACUGCCCAGAAUUUGGUGCUAUCUGCUGGUGAGCACCCGCCAGGCCUGUGUCUCACGGGACCCGCCUUUCAGUCUGCCUGGCCUGUGUCUUGUAUUUAGGCUGUGUGUCAACCAGGCUUUUGGAACUCCACUGCCGUCUGAUACCGGAAAACUCAUUUCCACCUCCUGAGGGGAGACCUGGAGACCGGAGAAUACUCUAGCUGUUCCAGGGAGAAACAGAACCUUUGAUCCUGGGAGUUCCUCUGUUCCUAUCGGGAAGCAAACUGCCUGAACCGGCCUUUGAGAGAAACAUGUACUUCCGUUUCCCGCCUGGGAGCCCAGCAGUGGAAAGGCAGAAUGACAGCCACGUCCAAGGACAACCCAGGCUACUUGUCCCACACAGAACAAGGUCACUGUGGUCAUGGUGUCUCUUCACAACAACAGAACAGUAACUGAGAAAGAGACUCUGUUUUAAAAAAAACAAAAUAAACAAAGUCUGUACCACCCAAUCCAGUUACACACCCUGAUUGUUAAAACUUACAUUCUAAUAACAUAAUAACAUUUCCAGAUGAUAGUAGCAUUUAAAGUUUUAUUGUAAAAACAAUAUGACAUUAAAUAAAAACAUUGGAAAAACAUCAUUCAUAAUCUCACCACCUUAACAAA
Long non-coding RNA from Psammomys obesus (fat sand rat), 759 nucleotides. RefSeq lists it as uncharacterized. The record is from RefSeq and is a predicted model, not a curated record. The transcript has 3 exons. NCBI's taxonomy places the organism in Eukaryota, Metazoa, Chordata, Mammalia, Rodentia, Muridae.